CUACGGGGCGCAGCAGUGAGGAAUAUUGCACAAUGGGGGGAACCCUGAUGCAGCAACGCCGCGUGGAGGAUGACGCAUUUCGGUGUGUAAACUCCUUUUAUAUGUCAAGAAAAUGACGGUAGCAUAUGAAUAAGCACCGGCUAACUCCGUGCCAGCAGCCGCGGUAAUACGGAGGGUGCAAGCGUUACUCGGAAUCACUGGGCGUAAAGGACGCGUAGGCGGGUUGGAAAGUCAGGUGUGAAAUCCUACAGCUUAACUGUAGAACUGCACUUGAAACUGCUAAUCUAGAGUAUGGGAGGGGGAGAUGGAAUUAGUGGUGUAGGGGUAAUAUCCGUAGAUAUCACUAGGAAUACCUAAAGCGAAGGCGAUCUCCUGGAACAUUACUGACGCUAAGGCGUGAAAGCGUGGGGAGCAAACAGGAUUAGAUACCCCAGUAGUC
This 439-nucleotide ribosomal RNA is filed under the name uncultured bacterium. Its description in RNAcentral is "partial 16S ribosomal RNA". It matches the Rfam family "Bacterial small subunit ribosomal RNA", at positions 339 to 795 of the family's 1533-position model. The record is from RNAcentral.